AUUGAACGCUGGCGGCAGGCCUAACACAUGCAAGUCGAGCGGAUGAAGGGAGCUUGCUCCUGGAUUCAGCGGCGGACGGGUGAGUAAUGCCUAGGAAUCUGCCUGGUAGUGGGGGAUAACGUCCGGAAACGGGCGCUAAUACCGCAUACGUCCUGAGGGAGAAAGUGGGGGAUCUUCGGACCUCACGCUAUCAGAUGAGCCUAGGUCGGAUUAGCUAGUUGGUGGGGUAAAGGCCUACCAAGGCGACGAUCCGUAACUGGUCUGAGAGGAUGAUCAGUCACACUGGAACUGAGACACGGUCCAGACUCCUACGGGAGGCAGCAGUGGGGAAUAUUGGAACAUGGGCGAAAGCCUGAUCCAGCCAUGCCGCGUGUGUGAAGAAGGUCUUCGGAUUGUAAAGCACUUUAAGUUGGGAGGAAGGGCAGUAAGUUAAUACCUUGCUGUUUUGACGUUACCAACAGAAUAAGCACCGGCUAACUUCGU
RNAcentral lists this ribosomal RNA (483 nucleotides) under uncultured bacterium. RNAcentral's name for it is "partial 16S ribosomal RNA". It matches the Rfam family "Bacterial small subunit ribosomal RNA", at positions 30 to 506 of the family's 1533-position model. The record is from RNAcentral.